RNAcentral lists this ribosomal RNA (253 nucleotides) under uncultured bacterium. RNAcentral describes it as "partial 16S ribosomal RNA". It matches the Rfam family "Bacterial small subunit ribosomal RNA", at positions 524 to 776 of the family's 1533-position model. The record is from RNAcentral.
UACGUAGGGAGCAAGCGUUGUCCGGAAUCAUUGGGCGUAAAGCGCGCGUAGGUGGUCCCGUAAGUCCGCUGUGAAAGUCAAAGGCUCAACCUUUGAAAGCCGGUGGAUACUGUGGGACUAGAGUACGGAAGAGGCGAGUGGAAUUCCUGGUGUAGCGGUGAAAUGCGCAGAUAUCAGGAGGAACACCGGUGGCGAAGGCGGGUCUCUGGGCCACUACUGACGCUGAGAAGCGAAAGCAUGGGGAGCGAACAGG